GNGAAGUCCCCGGGCUCAACCNGGGAACUGCGUUCUGAACUGGGUGACUAGAGUGUGUCAGAGGGAGGUAGAAUUCCACGUGUAGCAGUGAAAUGCGUAGAGAUGUGGAGGAAUACCGAUGGCGAAGGCAGCNUCCUGGGAUAACACUGACGUUCAUGCCCGAAAGCGUGGGUAGCAAACAGGAUUAGAUACCCUGGUAGUCCACGCCCUAAACGAUGUCGAUUAGCUGUUGGGCGGCAUGACUGCUUAGUAGCGAAGCUAACGCGUGAAAUCGACCGCCUGGGGAGUACGGUCGCAAGAUUAAAACUCAAAGGAAUUGACGGGGACCCGCACAAGCGGUGGAUGAUGUGGAUUAAUUCGAUGCAACGCGAAGAACCUUACCUGGUCUUGACAUGUACGGAACCCUCCAGAGACGGAGGGGUGCCUUCGGGAGCCGUAACACAGGUGCUGCAUGGCUGUCGUCAGCUCGUGUCGUGAGAUGUUGGGUUAAGUCCCGCAACGAGCGCAACCCUUGUCAUUAGUUGCCAUCAUUAAGUUGGGCACUCUAAUGAGACUGCCGGUGACAAGCCGGAGGAAGGUGGGGAUGACGUCAAGUCCUCAUGGCCCUUAUGACCAGGGCUUCACACGUCAUACAAUGGUCGGUACAGAGGGUAGCCAAGCCGCGAGGUGGAGCCAAUCUCACAAAACCGAUCGUAGUCCGGAUUGCACUCUGCAACUCGAGUGCAUGAAGUCGGAAUCGCUAGUAAUCGCAGGUCAGCAUACUGCGGUGAAUACGUUCCCGGGUCUUGUACACACCGCCCGUCACACCAUGGGAGUGGGGGAUACCAGAA
RNAcentral lists this ribosomal RNA (830 nucleotides) under uncultured bacterium. Its description in RNAcentral is "bacterial SSU rRNA". It matches the Rfam family "Bacterial small subunit ribosomal RNA", at positions 594 to 1425 of the family's 1533-position model. The record is from RNAcentral.